Molecule: long non-coding RNA, 5772 nt
Organism: Gorilla gorilla gorilla (western lowland gorilla)
Lineage: Eukaryota; Metazoa; Chordata; Mammalia; Primates; Hominidae
Exons: 2
Source: RefSeq, a predicted model, not a curated record
CAACCCACCUACAGCCCCUUCUGCUCUGCCCCAUCAACUACAUUUUCUCCCUCAGCACUCGCCUUAGAUUCCUGGACUCACAGCACAGAGGCGACCUCCUCCUUGCAGACUUUAGGCGCCACUGCGGGGUCCGGAAAAAAAAAAGAGAAACGGCCCAGCGCUGUCGCUUACAUAACCCAGGGCGGGGCUGCGCUCGGCGACCGCAAGCGUUUUGAAUUCUGCGCCCCAGAGUUCACUGCGAGGACUGGGAUCACCCGUCACCCCGCCCUGGUCUACGGAAAAUGACAAGUGUUUACUGAUACAGAAAUGGAAUAAGGGCGCUGUGGGCUGGGGUGGGCGGAGCUGCCUUCAGGCUUCUGGUCUCCAGCGGCGGGGAACUCACACCUGCCGCUGUGAAAAUGCAGACCCGCGAGGCAGGAAUUCCGAGUCCAGCCUGGGGCGCAAUCUGGAAUCUUGACUCGCUUGAAACACCGCGGCGGAUUCGGAGACAGGUGAGUAGGUAAAUGAGCCUCAGCCCCUCACACGGGCCGCCCACGGAUUCCAGGAUCCGGAAACUCUUCCUGCUGCUGCGUCACCCCAGGAAGGCAGCGCCCGCCUCUGGGCCUUUCUGAUGGAAACUGGCUCCGCCGCCCAGAGGAAAACCCACAACUAAGGGGCCAAGAAAAAGCCUCCAUGGUCCCGCCCUUUCAGUGAGGAUCCUAAUUUAUACCCCGAGUGUGGCCCCCAUCAAAGUCUGCAGUGACAGCCGAGCGCGGUGGCUCACGCCUGUAAUCCCGGCACUUUGGGAGACCAUGGCGGACGGAUCACUUGAGGUCAGGAGUUCGAGACCAGCUUGGCCAACAUGGUGAAGCCCCUUCUCUACUAAAAAUACAAAAAUUAGCCGGGUGUGGUGGUAGGCGCCUGUAGUCCCAGCUACUCGGAGGCUGAGGCAGAAGAAUGGCGUGAACCCGGGAGGCGGAGCUUGCAGGGAGCCGAGAUCGCGCCACUGCACUCCAGCCUGGGCGAGAGUGAGACUCCAGCUCACAAAAAAAAAAAAAAAAAAAGAAAAAAGAAAAAAAAAUGUAGAGUGACGUUCACUGAAAUACUAGACCAGCGGGAGGGACCCAGAGCGCUGUGGUUCACAGAAUGCGGUGACAGCGCCGCCUCGCGUCCUUUCCUUCACCUGCCCCAGGCAGACGUGAUCACGUGUGUUGGCCUGGAGGCUGGAAUACACUGGGGUCAAAAGCAGAGAGUGGAGAAGGAAGGGAAGGAUGGGAGGACGUGUUGAAGAAAGACAGAAAGAGCUGGCGCUAUGGUUCAUACCCAUAAAACUAGCGUUUUCGGAGGCGAGGCAGGAGGAUCGUGUGAGACCAGGAGUUUGAGGUUGCAGUGAGCCAUGGUCACACCACUGCACUCCAGCCUGGACGACAGAGUGAGACUCUGCUUUUAUAUACUUUUCAUAUUUUCUGUAAUUAAGCAAGUUUUGUGUCCGGAAUUGGUGGGUUCUUGAUCUCACUGACUUCAAGAAUGAAGCUGCGGACCCUCGCGGUGAGUGUUACAGCUUUUAAGGUGGCGCGUCUGGAGUUUGUUCCUUCUGAUGUUCGGAUGUGUCCGGAGUUUUUUCCUUCUGGUGGGUUCGUGGUCUCGCUGGCUCAGGAGUGAAGCUGCAGACCUUCACGGAAGCGAGGUAACUGACGGAUGGCCAAGGCAGCCCCUUAGGUGGCUUAGGUCUGCCCUGUGGAGCAUCCCUGCGGUGGACUCUGGCCAGCCUGAGUGACGCGAUCCAAAGAGCGCUCCCGGGUAGGAAAUUGCCCGGGUGGAAUGCCUCGCCAGAGCAGCACGUAGCAGGCCCCCGAGGAGGAUUAAUACACUGGCUGAACACUGGGAAGGAACUGGCACUUGGAGUCCGGACAUCUGAAACUUGGUAAGACUAGUCUUUGGAACUUGCCCCACUCCAUCUGAGUGGAAGCAUGGCCUGAUCACCCAUGGUGUGCCUGUACUGGCACUUUUGUUCUGGUUUUGACUUGACUUAGAUUGUGUGAUACUUUGGUUUUGGUUUUGGUUUUGACCUGGCUUGGGUUUCUGGAUACUCUGAUUUUGGUUUGGUGUAAACUGCAAAAGUGUGUGUGCCCUUUUUACCUGUUUUUUUGUUUUGUAGUGUGCGUGUGGUGUGAGCGUGGUGUUUUGUCUCGAAGAAGCAUGGGUCAGGCACAAAUAAGCCCACCCCACUAGGAACUAUGUUAAAAAAAAUUUUUUUUCAGAAAGAAUUUAAGGGAGAUUACGAUGUUACUGUGACACCAGGAAAACUUAGAACUUGUGAAAUAGACUGGCCAGCAUUAGAGGUGGGUUGGCCAUCAGAAGGAAGCCUGGACAGGUCCCUUGUUUCAAAGGUAUGGCACAAAGUAACCUGUAAGCCAAGGCACCCAGACCAGUAUCUGUACAUAGACAGUUACAGCUGGUUUUAGACCCCCUUCCCUCCACAGUAGUUAAGAGAACAGCAGCAUAAGCGGCUGGCAGAGGCAAGGAAAGACCAGCAGAGAGAAAAAAAGGCCAUCUAUACCAAUUCUAAGUUAAUUUAGACUAAACAAGGUCUUAUUAAUAGCAAAGGAUAAUUGAAAUCCCAAACUUACAAGGUGUUCAACAAAAGUGAAGUUUGCUAAAAAUUAACAGUAUAACAUGUAUUAUGGUAACUUCUAAUCUUGUGGCCUUAGACAGUCUAGUCCAAAGACAAAAAAAAAGUUCACUUUAAAAAAAAAAGCGGGGGAGGCAGAAUUUAUGUAAAAAGAGUGUUAUAUGGUAAAUUCUUGUCCUGAAAUAAAUUAACUGGUUGUUUAAAGAAAAAAAAAUGUUUGUAAUAAGUCAGAAAGUUGAGACAUGUUGAAGAAUUGUUGGCGAAAGUCGUGAAAGAAAAAAUGUUAUAAAAAAAGUAUGCAAAAAAUAUUGUAUAAUUUAAAAGUAAUAAGGCCUCCUGAGUACUAUUAAAAAAAAACAGUUUAUGUGCAAGGUGUAUAAGAAAAGUAAAAUAUACCUUUGGUAAAAAGAUUAUAAGGAGGCAUAAGAAUGUGGAUUUUUACCUACAUUAAAAGGUUAAAAAAAUUAUUGUUUUGAAAGUGUAAGCAAAUUUUAAAAUGUUAAUCGUAAAGAAAAUUCUGUGUGUAAACAUAUUAGCUAAAGUUAAAAAGGUAUCAUCCAGUUUUUCUGUGAACUGGACAUUAAAGUAAAAAUGUGACAGGUUUUUCUUAAAGCAUCAACCUGCUCUUUAACAAAAAUUAUAAAAGGUUAAAAAGAGUCUAUAAAACCUUACCUUAUGGUCAAACAUGAAAAAUUGGAUAAAUAUGUCUACAAAGUUUUAUUAAAAUUAAGUUUAACAUUAAUAACACACUAAUAUAAAGGUAAAAUUUAGCUUAUCUUGUAUAAAAACCAUACAAGAAGCAUUAUUAAAUAUAAAAUGGUGUUUAGCUUUCUUUGGUCUAAAAACUAAUAAAAAUUGGUGCUGAAGGAAACAUUCAUUUUACUAGAGGAUCAUAGAAGUUAAAGACUUAAAACAAACUUUGGCAGUUAAGACAGCAUACCAAGAUGCAAAUGCCUGGUUGGAAUGGAUCAUAUAUUCCAUCUGCACGUUAAACAAAAGCAAUUGUUAUGCUUGUGCACAUGGCAGGCCAGAGGUCCUGAUUGUCCCUCUUCCACUAAGGUGGUCCUCCAGUCAACCAGGUGUGGGCUGCAUGGUAGCUCUUUUCCAGGAUUCUACAGCCUGGAGUAAUAAGUCAUGCCAAGCUAUCUCUGCUAUAUCCCGAAGUCUCUGCGGGUCAGCCCCCGAGGGCCAUCCAGCUUCCGUCUCCCAACACUAAGUUCACUUCUUGUCUCUCACGGCAGGGAGGAGAUUUAGCAUUCCUUGGAGACCUGAAGGGAUGCAGUGAGCUUAAGAGUUUCCAAGAGCUUAUCAAUCAGUCAGCCCUUGUUCAUCCCCGAGAGGAUGUGUGGUGGUAUCGGGGUGGACCUUUACUGGGCACUCUGCUGAAUAACUAGAGUGGCACUUGUGCUUUAGUCCAUUUGGCUAUCCCUUUCACCCUGGCAUUUCGUCAACCAGAGGAAAAAAAGAGUAAGACAUCAUAAAACGAGAGAAGCCCCUUAUAGGUCUUUCAACUCUCACAUCUAUUUAAAUGCAAUUGGAGCCCCGCAAGGAAUACCAGAUCAAUUUAAAGCUUGAAAUCAAAUAGUUACAGGAUUUAAGUCAAUAUUUUAGUAGAUGACAGUCAAUAAAAAUGUAGAUCAGAUAAACUACAUCUAUUACAACCAACAGCAAAGAGCUUUUCAUGAGUUAAAAAGAAAAACUCAUGUCGGCCCCAGCCCUGAGGCUACCUGACCUGACAAAACUCUUUACACUCUGUGUGUCAGAAAGAGAAAAAAUGGCAGUUGGAGUUUUAACCCAGACUGUAGGGCCCUGGUCAAGGCCAGUGGCCCAUCUCUCAAAACAACUAGACGGGGUUUCCAAAGGCUGGCCCCCAUGUCCAAGGGCCCUGGCAGCAACUGCCCUGUUAGCACAAGAAGCAGAUAAGCUAACUCUUAGGCAAAACCUAAACAUAAAGUCCUCCCAUGCUGUGGUGACUUUAAUAAAUACCAAAGGACAUCAUUAGCUAAUAAAUGCUAGACUAACUAGAUACCAAAGCUUGCUCUGUGAAAAUCCCCACAUAACCAUUGAAGUUUCCAACACCCUAACCCAGCCACCUUACUCCUGGUAUCAGAGAGCCCAGUUAAACAUAACUGUUUAGAGGUGCUGGACUCAGUUUAUUCUAGUAGGCCUAACCUCCGAGACCACCCUUAAACAUCAGUAGACUGGGAGCUGUACGUGGAUGGGAGCAGCUUUGCCAACCCCUGCAAAGUGACUCUGAAGAAGGAGACAAGCCCUGCUCCAGUCACACCCGGAAGCUGACUGGUCCACGCACGGCCGAAGCAUGAGGAAACUCAUUGCGGGACUCAUUUUCCUUAAAAUUUGGACUUGUACAGUAAGGACUUCAACUGACCUUCCUCAGACUGAGAACUGUUUCCAGUAUAUACAUCAAGUCACUGAGGUAGGACAAAAGAUUGCUACAGUCCUAUUAUUUUAUGGUUGUUAUAAGUGUGCCAGGACUCUAAAAGAAACUUGUUUGUAUAAUGCUAUCCAAGGUAUGUAGCCCAGGGAAUAACCAACCUGAUGUGUGUUAUGACCCAGUUUAAGUCUCCCGUGAUCACAGUUUUUAAAAUAAAAUUAAGGACUGGUCCUUUUCUAGGUGACACAAGUAAGGUAAUAGCUAGAACAGAAAAAAGAGGGGCCCCCAAAAAUGUAACCUUAAAAUUUGGUGCUUGUGCCGCUAUUGAUAGUAAGCAGCAUGGAAUAGGAUGCGGUUCUCUAAAUUGGAAAAAAAAAGUUACACAGUAAAAAAAAAUAAGUGUAUCUGUCAAGAAUCGUAUUUAUGUGAGAUGUGUCAAUACUGGUCUUGUGUCAUUUGGGCUACUUAAAAAGAAGAUAAAAAAGAUCCUGUUUGGCGGCUUAGUUGUCUUGGGCAAAAACUGUAUAAUGGUACCACAAAAACAGUUACAUGGUGGAGUUCCAAUUACACAGAAAGAAAUCCAUUCAGUAAAUUUCCAAAGUUGCAGACUGUUUGGGCCCACACAGAACUCCACCGGGACUGGAGAGCCCCCACCGGGUUAUACACAGAGCUUAUGCUAAGCUGCCUGAUCAGUGGACAGGUAGCUGUGUAACUGGCACCGUUAAACCAUCUUUCUUCUUACUGCCAAUAAAAACAGGUAAACUUC